CAGUAGCCGCGGGAAUACGGAGGGUGCAAGCGUUAAUCGGAAUUACUGGGCGUAAAGCGCACGCAGGCGGUCUGACAAGUCAGAUGUGAAAUCCCCGGGCUCAACCUGGGAACUGCAUUUGUGACUGUAUAGCUAGAGUACGGCAGAGGGGGAUGGAAUUCCGCGUGUAGCAGUGAAAUGCGUAGAUAUGCGGAGGAACACCGAUGGCGAAGGCAAUCCCCUGGGCCUGUACUGACGCUCAUGCACGAAAGCGUGGGGAGCAAACAGGAUUAGAUACCCCAGUAGUCCCUGUCUCUUAUAC
Molecule: ribosomal RNA, 301 nt
Filed under: uncultured bacterium
Lineage: Bacteria
Description: partial 16S ribosomal RNA
Rfam family: Bacterial small subunit ribosomal RNA
Source: RNAcentral